CGUGUAGGCGGGCUUUUAAGUCAGGGGUGAAAUGCCAAGGCUCAACCUUGGAACUGCCUUUGAUACUGGAAGUCUUGAGUCCGGGAGAGGUGAGUGGAACUGCGAGUGUAGAGGUGAAAUUCGUAGAUAUUCGCAAGAACACCAGUGGCGAAGGCGGCUCACUGGCCCGGAACUGACGCUGAGACGCGAAAGCGUGGGGAGCAAACAGGAUUAGAUACCCUGGUAGUCCACGCUGUAAACGAUGGAUGCUAGCCGUUGGGGAGCUUGCUCUUCAGUGGCGCAGCUAACGCUUUAAGCAUCCCGCCUGGGGAGUACGGUCGCAAGAUUAAA
RNAcentral lists this ribosomal RNA (330 nucleotides) under uncultured bacterium. RNAcentral's name for it is "bacterial SSU rRNA". It matches the Rfam family "Bacterial small subunit ribosomal RNA", at positions 568 to 898 of the family's 1533-position model. The record is from RNAcentral.